AAAAAAAAAAAAAUGUACAUCAGUAACAGAAAAUUCAGUAGCAGGAAAACACGUAGUGCCCUGGUACUUGACAUGCAAGUAACUGCCAUUGAUUUUUGUAGUCAAUUGGGCUUCAGAGGGUCACACUGAUGCAUGAUUAGAUGAGAAAUUAAUGAUACAGGUUUUGAUGAAUUCUUACUGAAAUUAAUGUCUUAAAACAUUAAAAUAUUUUGAUUUAAUCAAUCUGAAACUUAAGUUAUAUCAAUUUAGUCCUAUCCAAACUCAUUAAGAAUGUAUGUGAGAUAGUUUUAUAAAUACUUGGUAUUUUUUGUGAAACUUUCACUUUUCGGAGUUGUAAAUAGCUUAUCUGGACUCUAGAAGUCAUAUUGCUCAGUGUUCUUGUAAAUAAUGAAAAAGUUAUUUAGGAUUACUUAUCAGUUAGAAUGCUUUGUGACUCAAGUGACUGAAAAAUAAGAAAGUUUAUUGUUUUCCAGGGAUGGCAUCAAGGUGGGUUGGUUGAGCAGCUUAGCCUUGGCAUUAAGGAUCCAAGAUCUUUUGCAAUAACAGCUUUGCACAAAGCCUGGUUUCAUUUAUGAUUGUGAGAUGGCUGCUGACAGAGGAGAGCAGAGAGAAAGAAAUGGUGCUGGAUGAUCAUCAAUGUCCAACACAGAAAGUGAUGUAAGUAAAUGAAACCUUAUUACUCUGUUUUAUCAAUAAUUUUUGUGUGUAGCAUGUUCUAGUAAAGUUGAACUCCAUUG
Long non-coding RNA from Galeopterus variegatus (Sunda flying lemur), 737 nucleotides. RefSeq lists it as uncharacterized. NCBI's taxonomy places the organism in Eukaryota, Metazoa, Chordata, Mammalia, Dermoptera, Cynocephalidae. The record is from RefSeq and is a predicted model, not a curated record. The transcript has 2 exons.